Molecule: transfer RNA, 73 nt
Filed under: Stegodyphus mimosarum
Lineage: Eukaryota; Metazoa; Arthropoda; Arachnida; Araneae; Eresidae
Rfam family: tRNA
About the family: Transfer RNA (tRNA) molecules are approximately 80 nucleotides in length. Their secondary structure includes four short double-helical elements and three loops (D, anti-codon, and T loops). Further hydrogen bonds mediate the characteristic L-shaped molecular structure. tRNAs have two regions of fundamental functional importance: the anti-codon, which is responsible for specific mRNA codon recognition, and the 3' end, to which the tRNAs corresponding amino acid is attached (by aminoacyl-tRNA synthetases). tRNAs cope with the degeneracy of the genetic code in two manners: having more than one tRNA (with a specific anti-codon) for a particular amino acid; and 'wobble' base-pairing, i.e. permitting non-standard base-pairing at the 3rd anti-codon position.
Source: Rfam by way of RNAcentral
GCUUUCGUGGUGUAGUGGUCAGCACGCUCGGCGCGUAUUCGAGAGGUCCGUGGUUCGAUUCCCGGCGAGGGCA